Corythoichthys intestinalis (scribbled pipefish) is the source of this 1902-nucleotide long non-coding RNA. RefSeq lists it as uncharacterized. Lineage: Eukaryota; Metazoa; Chordata; Actinopteri; Syngnathiformes; Syngnathidae. The transcript is spliced from 2 exons. The record is from RefSeq and is a predicted model, not a curated record.
UUCUCCUCCCUCUUCCUUUCACUGACUGCGCUCCAUCUCUGCGUUCAAUCACUUUUUUAUACUAAGGGCGUCGUGACAUUCAGUGACUGCUGUGGCCCAUCCGUCGUUCAUUAUCUUAGUAAUUGCUGGAAAGCUGCAGGAUAGUGAAGCAGCACAGAGCUGACCUUAUAAAGCCUUUUCCCAACUAGACCAUACUUCCGUCUUACAAUCCAUGGAAGCCAAGGCCAAAGCUGCCCCUGUGCCCAAGGGGCCAUCAAAAGCUGAGAAAAAGGAGCCAGCGGCCCCACGUAAAGCCGAACCUGCCCCUGCAACCCCAGAGCCAGAGAUUCCUCCUCCCCAGGAGGGGUCGGCAGAAGGUGACGCAGGUGAUGGGGCUGCGGGCAGCUGCACAGACUCUCUGGAGCACCUGAAACCAUUCCUCAUUGGUGGUGCUGUAAUUGCAGUUGGAGCCAUUUUGCUGGGAGCCUUGCUACUGGCAAGGAGAAAUUAAAAUCUCAAUCUCAAAGAAUUAACUCAAUGUAAAAUUGGUUCACAAAUAUUCAUGGGUGAUAUUGAAAAGAGGAGGAAUUUUGUUUUCUUUUUGGCUAGCAAAAAACCCAAAGCAAAUGUACACAAUUUUAUUAUGAAUAAAAUAUGCAUGAUUUUUUAAUUAAAAAUUUAAGACACCAUACAGUAGUCCUGAGCGUACAGGAUGUAUGUCUCUGAGGUGGCUUUAAAAUCUGCUUUAUAUUGUUUGCUCAAAGGUUGACUAAAACACAAUAUUUGCAUUACAUUUACAAAGAGCUCCAGAAAAUCUAUACUCCUAAAUCAGAAAGUAUUAUGAUUCAAUCAUGGCAGAUUCUAUGAUUAAUUUGACUUUAUCUUACAUUUAAAAAAAAGCAGGUAUGAUAAAAAUGUAGUAUUGUAUGAUCAUCUGAUAAAUGAUUAAGAGAUUUGGCAUGCUGAGGUUCUCGAAUGGCCUGCGCAGGAAUAUUUGCGUUAUCGUGAAUUUGCUGGAUUAGUGUUGGAAGGUUAGGAUGCAGAAUAGGAAUUAUUUUUAUGUUACUGUCAAAUGAUGUCACAAAUCAAUAGCCUAUUAUGUAUAACAAAACAUCUGCAAAUGUUCAACAUCAAUAUGUUCACUUCUUAUCGUAAAUACUUUGUUGUAGACCAGCAUACCAGUCAUUAGUGGUCCGAUAUCAAGUUCAGUUGCUGCCGUUGUAUCGAGCUUCAUUACACUGUGCUUUUCUCCCUAUGUAUUCCAUCAAGAACAACCCUUGUUUUCACUACCUUAUUAAUAACUAAGUAUACAUAGGUACUGUACAUUUAGAGUGCUAUUGUAAUGGAGGUGGAUUAGUCAAGCAGUCAUUUCACGUCAGCAUGCACUGCAACCUUGCAUGUAUUCCCAACAUUGAGCGCACAGAAAACAAUUUGCUCUGGUUGCAAGUAAACAUGUUUGCAAAACUUUCGUCAUAAUUAAUGUUGUUCGUUUGUACAUUGACACAUUCUACAUCCAUAAUACAUCCUGAAAAUAUGCCAAAACUAGAAGUAAUGUCACCUGACAUUGUACAAAUCAGAGUACCAAAAACAUUCUUCAUUUAUUAACUUAAUGACAGCAGCGUAUGAAUGCAAUAAUUCAGAUAGGAUUCCUCAGUUAGCACACGAUGUUGUGCUGUAGCAAGUUAUUUCACAUAAAUAAUGACAUAAAAACUAGUGAUGGUCAAGUGAUGUUCAAUGAAAUGAAAAUGAUGUUAGCAGUGAUAGAAAGUACUGUGCGUAUUUAUUGGCGACUGUAACUAUAAUGAUGGUGAUGAUAUAUUUUUUGAUAUAUAAAAAAAUCUUGGGUACUACCCUUUCCCCUAAUAUAUACAAAGAAUGUGGUUGUGAUGCAACCUUUAUUAAAGGCAGUGAAUCAACACUAAA